UACGUAGGGGGCAAGCGUUGUCCGGAAUCAUUGGGCGUAAAGCGCGUGUAGGCGGCUCGAUAAGUCUGCUGUGAAAGUCCAAGGCUCAACCUUGGGAUGCCGGUGGAUACUGUCGAGCUCGAGUCCGGAAGAGGCGAGUGGAAUUCCCGGUGUAGCAGUGAAAUGCGUAGAGAUCGGGAGGAACAUCAGUUGCGAAGGCGGCUCUCUGGACCAGCACUGACACUGAGGCACGAAAGCGUGGGGAGCAAACAGG
RNAcentral lists this ribosomal RNA (253 nucleotides) under uncultured bacterium. RNAcentral's name for it is "partial 16S ribosomal RNA". It matches the Rfam family "Bacterial small subunit ribosomal RNA", at positions 524 to 776 of the family's 1533-position model. The record is from RNAcentral.